RNAcentral lists this ribosomal RNA (253 nucleotides) under uncultured bacterium. RNAcentral's name for it is "partial 16S ribosomal RNA". It matches the Rfam family "Bacterial small subunit ribosomal RNA", at positions 524 to 776 of the family's 1533-position model. The record is from RNAcentral.
UACGUAGGGGGCAAGCGUUGUCCGGAUUUAUUGGGCGUAAAGAGCGUGUAGGCGGCCUGACAGGUCUGCUGUGAAAACUCGAGGCUCAACCUCGAGAUGUCGGCGGAAACCGUCUGGCUAGAGUCCGGAAGAGGAGAGUGGAAUUCCUGGUGUAGCGGUGAAAUGCGCAGAUAUCAGGAAGAACACCUAUGGCGAAAGCGGCUCUCUGGGACGGUACUGACGCUGAGACGCGAAAGCGUGGGGAGCAAACAGG